RNAcentral lists this unclassified non-coding RNA (240 nucleotides) under uncultured fungus. RNAcentral describes it as "sequence contains ITS1, 5.8S rRNA gene". The stretch from base 192 to 240 matches the Rfam family "5.8S ribosomal RNA", at positions 1 to 49 of the family's 154-position model. Lineage: Eukaryota; Fungi. The record is from RNAcentral.
UUUCCGUAGGUGAACCUGCGGAGGGAUCAUUAAGAAUUGAACAGCAGUGUCUGGCACUGUUGCCCAUUCUAACCCUUUGUGAACCAAACUUGUUGCUUCGGGGGCGACCCUGCCGCUUCGGCGGUGCGGCGCCCCCGGAGGCCAUCAAACCCUGCGUAACUAAGUCGUCGGAGUUUAAACAAAUAAAACAAAACUUUCAACAACGGAUCUCUUGGUUCGGGCAUCGAUGAAGAACGCAGC